RNAcentral lists this ribosomal RNA (468 nucleotides) under uncultured bacterium. Its description in RNAcentral is "partial 16S ribosomal RNA". It matches the Rfam family "Bacterial small subunit ribosomal RNA", at positions 28 to 507 of the family's 1533-position model. The record is from RNAcentral.
GACGAACGCUGGCGGCGUGCUUAACACAUGCAAGUCGAACGGAAAGGCCCUGCUUUUGUGGGGUGCUCGAGUGGCGAACGGGUGAGUAACACGUGAGUAACCUGCCCUUGACUUUGGGAUAACUUCAGGAAACUGGGGCUAAUACCGGAUAGGAGCUCCUGCUGCAUGGUGGGGGUUGGAAAGUUUCGGCGGUUGGGGAUGGACUCGCGGCUUAUCAGCUUGUUGGUGGGGUAGUGGCUUACCAAGGCUUUGACGGGUAGCCGGCCUGAGAGGGUGACCGGCGACAUUGGGACUGAGAUAGGGCCCAGACUCCUACGGGAGGCAGCAGGGGGGAAUAUUGCACAAUGGGCGGAAGCGUGAUGCAGCAACGCCGCGUGCGGGAUGACGGCCUUCGGGUUGUAAACAGCUUUCGCCUGUGACGAAGCGUGAGUGACGGUAAUGGGUAAAGAAGCACCGGCUAACUACGUG